This 674-nucleotide ribosomal RNA is filed under the name Paenibacillus ottowii. RNAcentral's name for it is "Paenibacillus sp. MS2379 partial 23S ribosomal RNA". It matches the Rfam family "Bacterial large subunit ribosomal RNA", at positions 2246 to 2925 of the family's 2925-position model. The record is from RNAcentral. Lineage: Bacteria; Bacillati; Bacillota; Bacilli; Caryophanales; Paenibacillaceae.
CGAGGACAGUGUCAGGUGGGCAGUUUGACUGGGGCGGUCGCCUCCUAAAAAGUAACGGAGGCGCCCCAAGGUUCCCUCAGAAUGGUUGGAAAUCAUUCGAAGAGUGCAAAGGCAGAAGGGAGCUUGACUGCGAGACCUACAAGUCGAGCAGGGACGAAAGUCGGGCUUAGUGAUCCGGUGGUACCGCAUGGAAGGGCCAUCGCUCAACGGAUAAAAGCUACCCUGGGGAUAACAGGCUUAUCUCCCCCAAGAGUCCACAUCGACGGGGAGGUUUGGCACCUCGAUGUCGGCUCAUCGCAUCCUGGGGCUGAAGUAGGUCCCAAGGGUUGGGCUGUUCGCCCAUUAAAGCGGUACGCGAGCUGGGUUCAGAACGUCGUGAGACAGUUCGGUCCCUAUCUGUCGUGGGCGUAGGAAAUUUGAGAGGAGCUGUCCUUAGUACGAGAGGACCGGGAUGGACGUACCGCUGGUGUACCAGUUGUUCCGCCAGGAGCACCGCUGGGUAGCUAUGUACGGAAGGGAUAAGCGCUGAAAGCAUCUAAGCGUGAAGCCCCCCUCAAGAUGAGAUUUCCCAAUUAGUAAGACCCCUUGAAGACGACGAGGUAGAUAGGUUGGAGGUGGAAGUGCAGUAAUGCAUGGAGCUGACCAAUACUAAUCGGUCGAGGGCUUAUCCUAAA